Molecule: ribosomal RNA, 464 nt
Filed under: uncultured bacterium
Lineage: Bacteria
Description: partial 16S ribosomal RNA
Rfam family: Bacterial small subunit ribosomal RNA
Source: RNAcentral
CUACGGGUGGCUGCAGUGGGGAAUAUUGCACAAUGGGCGCAAGCCUGAUGCAGCCAUGCCGCGUGUAUGAAGAAGGCCUUCGGGUUGUAAAGUACUUUCAGCGGGGAGGAAGGGAGUAAAGUUAAUACCUUUGCUCAUUGACGUUACCCGCAGAAGAAGCACCGGCUAACUCCGUGCCAGCAGCCGCGGUAAUACGGAGGGUGCAAGCGUUAAUCGGAAUUACUGGGCGUAAAGCGCACGCAGGCGGUUUGUUAAGUCAGAUGUGAAAUCCCCGGGCUCAACCUGGGAACUGCAUCUGAUACGGGCAAGCUCGAGUCUCGUAGAGGGGGGUAGAAUUCCAGGUGUAGCGGUGAAAUGCGUAGAGAUCUGGAGGAAUACCGGUGGCGAAGGCGGCCCCCUGGACGAAGACUGACGCUCAGGUGCGAAAGCGUGGGGAGCAAACAGGAUUAGAUACCCGUGUAGUC